UGGAGCAGCAGCUGCAGCAUCUGCUCCUGGCUGUCCCUCAGUAGCCACCUUCUGCACUCAGCGCCACAGCUGGCCUCUGCAGCGACAUCCUCAUCUCCUCGUCUGCCGCCAGGCAUCCCCACAGCACUUUGGCACUGUGCAAGGUGGAAAGGAGAGGCACAAUGAAAAGGAAAGCGAGAGCCCACACUGAGCCACACAUCAAUGUUGGCAGUGACUUUCAGGCCGAGCUCCCCGAGCUGCAGACCGGGCCGCCAAGUGAGGCUGAAGAGCCUGCAACCCUGGUCUGGAAGCCCUUGGAGGAAGACGACCCUGACCUGGAUAAACCGGACAGUGGUAGCUGUCCUUCCACUCCUGAGAUAGUCGGGCAUGUAAAAUGCUGGUUUUUGGGUAAAAUGGCAGCUUUUGGCAGGCUCUGCUUCUCUCCUUGUCAUGCCCAUCUUCCCUUGUGGAAGUGGUAGGGGCAAGGAGAAUGCUCUGCUUUUGCAGCAGAGCAGGAAAAAGAGCAACUGUGCUGCUCUCCAAAUGGGUCAGGGGCAUCUGCCACUGGAAGAGGGGAGAUUGGCCCCCACUCCUUAUGCCAAAAGCUGCUUGGAAGGGAGAGGCAGCACUAGGUGGGCCCUUGCUUCAGCUUCCCCUUGCUUUGCUCUCCUUUUCGUGCUCUCCAAGCUGCAGGCUUUAGCUCUUGUGCUUUCCUCCUGCCUUGUAUGGCAAGCAUUCCCCUUUGUUGGCUCAAGGCUGACUUUGGGUGGGUUUUUGUUGUGCUUGCAGUCAGAGAACUGUUGGACAUGGCCAGCUCCCGUGGCCUCCCCGGGGCAGCAGCUCAGCUGGAGCUCGCC
This is a long non-coding RNA of Passer domesticus (house sparrow), 836 nucleotides long. RefSeq lists it as uncharacterized. The transcript is spliced from 3 exons. The record is from RefSeq and is a predicted model, not a curated record. NCBI's taxonomy places the organism in Eukaryota, Metazoa, Chordata, Aves, Passeriformes, Passeridae.